RNAcentral lists this long non-coding RNA (756 nucleotides) under Anser brachyrhynchus (Pink-footed goose). RNAcentral describes it as "lncRNA (ENSABRG00000012914.1)". Lineage: Eukaryota; Metazoa; Chordata; Aves; Anseriformes; Anatidae. The record is from RNAcentral.
CAGAAAGUUGGAGAGAAAGAUAUUGCUGCUGGGUUUAGUGGAAAGAAAAUCAUUAUUUUUUUAAUUUGCUAUAAGUAAUGAACAAUAAAUUUUACUUCUGAAAUACUAGCUGUGUUUCGUGAAUGAGGAAAAGAGAGGCUAUAAAAAUAAGAGCAGCUGAAUGGAAAAAAAAAAAAAGGAUUAGAAGCAGUAUUUUUUCCCAUUAUGAUGUCAGGAUCUCACUUCAUGCAGAAAGCAUCGUCCAGUUGUGACCUCAUGGACUGUAAGACUUAACUUGAAAGUACUGACCAAGCAGUCAGUGUUGUCACCUGAAGCGGCAGUACGACACUACUCUUACCUGCUAAGCACCAGGGCUGAAGUUCACGCAGCAGGAGGCGGUUACCCCAAGGUGCACAGGAGAAAGAAUCAUCCCAGCAGUUACCUUGGUUGCGCAGUAUUUGGGAACAAACUGUGCCCUUGUGAGGAGAGAUGUGCCUAAGUACUUGAGAAUAAUUUGGGCAGCUGGCGAACUGUUACCCACUAGUUUACAGACAGAACUUUCACCUCUUCCCUUCUUUCCAAUUCGGUGAACUUGCCUAGGAAAUUGUGAGUAUAUUGAUGGCGACUUUGCUUCCCUAAAAGAUUUUAUUUACCUUUUAACGUGGUGUUUUAUUGUAGCCGUGUGUGUGCUGCCUUAUCAUACAGUAUGCUGUUGAACUGCUGAGAUGAUGAAUACCGCAAAAUAAACAAGAUUACUUCUGAUUAAACUGGUGAUGA